GGGUUGGAAGUCAAGUCACUUAUUGAAGAUCAUCUAUCACUAAUACAUGGGAUCUGAAACCAGCUCAAGAGAAGCGGUUAUCUUACAGAGAAGAAAAUUGAGGCUCAAAAAAGAUAAUCAAUUUGCCCAAAGACACACACUCACAUGUUCAAAGCUAGGACCUUGCUACUAAAAGGGUGGUUCAUGGAUACAACUCACAGUGACAUCUGAGAGCUCGUUGGAAAUGCAGAUUAUUACAUCUGACCUUCUGAAUCACAGUCUGAUUUUAACUGGGCUCUGGAGGAAUCAUACACAUA
Molecule: non-coding RNA, 296 nt
Organism: Urocitellus parryii (Arctic ground squirrel)
Lineage: Eukaryota; Metazoa; Chordata; Mammalia; Rodentia; Sciuridae
Source: RefSeq, a predicted model, not a curated record